UGAAAAAUUAUAUUUCAACAGACUCAUAAUCUGGAGGUCCCAGGUUCAAGCCCUGGCUGGUCCA
Molecule: transfer RNA, 64 nt
Filed under: Bacteroidaceae bacterium
Lineage: Bacteria; Pseudomonadati; Bacteroidota; Bacteroidia; Bacteroidales; Bacteroidaceae
Also listed under: 1 other name
Description: tRNA-Met
Rfam family: tRNA
About the family: Transfer RNA (tRNA) molecules are approximately 80 nucleotides in length. Their secondary structure includes four short double-helical elements and three loops (D, anti-codon, and T loops).
Source: RNAcentral